CGCCUGGUUGAUUAAAAACAUUGCUGCGUGAAAAGACGCUUGGUAAGCACUGCCCGGUGCCUGAUGAGGUUAACGGUGGUCUUUUAGAUUUUAAUGUAGCGUAAUACCUUGCCCUUUAAUUGUGGGCUUGCAUGAAGUGUUUACGAGGGAGUUACUGUCUCUUUUUAAUACUGAGAAAUCGAAUUGUAAAUGAAAUUGUUUACAUGGGGGUAAAAGACGAUAAGACCCCGUGCAGCUUUACACUAUUGGUCAAAGAUGAUUGAAAUGUUGUUUGGUUGGGGCAAUAGGGGAAUAGAAAAAACUUCCUUGGGAUAAUAGCUCCGGUAGUUGGGGUUUAUAAACUGGCAGGUGACGAUCUGAUUUGAUAGAUAAGCGGAGAAGCUACGCCGGGGAUAACAGCGCAAUCUUUAAUUGGAGGUCUUAUCUAAUUAAGGGCUUGCGACCUCGAUGUUGAAUUAGCGGGAAUCUUUAGGCGAAGAGGCUUAGGGGUAGGACUGUUCGUCCUCUAAGGCGCUACGUGAUCUGAGUUCAAACCGG
RNAcentral lists this ribosomal RNA (537 nucleotides) under Pteria penguin. RNAcentral's name for it is "partial 16S rRNA". It matches the Rfam family "Bacterial large subunit ribosomal RNA", at positions 1797 to 2619 of the family's 2925-position model. The record is from RNAcentral. Lineage: Eukaryota; Metazoa; Mollusca; Bivalvia; Pterioida; Pteriidae.